AUACGGAGGAUGCGAGCGUUAUCCGGAUUUAUUGGGCUUAAAGGGUGCGCAGGCGGCCAUUUAAGUCAGCGGUUAAAUCGUGGGGCUCAACCCCAUUCUGCCGUUGAUACUGGGUGGCUUGAUUGCGGUCGAGGUUGGCGGAAUUCGUUGUGUAGCGGUGAAAUGUAUAGAUAUGACGAAGAACACCGAUUGCGUAGGCAGCUGACCAGACCGCAAAUGACGCUCAUGCACGAAAGUGCGGGGAUCGAACAGGAUUAGAUACCCUGGUAGUCCGCACAGUAAACGAUGAAUACUUGUUUUCGGCGAUAUAAUGUCGGAGGCAAAGCGAAAGCGAUAAGUAUUCCACCUGGGGAGUACGCCGGCAACGGUGAAACUCAAAGGAAUUGACGGGG
This 392-nucleotide ribosomal RNA is filed under the name uncultured bacterium. RNAcentral describes it as "partial 16S ribosomal RNA". It matches the Rfam family "Bacterial small subunit ribosomal RNA", at positions 523 to 918 of the family's 1533-position model. The record is from RNAcentral.